This 117-nucleotide non-coding RNA is filed under the name Pan troglodytes (chimpanzee). The record is from Rfam by way of RNAcentral. Lineage: Eukaryota; Metazoa; Chordata; Mammalia; Primates; Hominidae.
GCUGGGUGUGGUGGCUCACGCCUGUAAUCCCAGCACUUUGGGAGGCCAAGGCAGGUGGAUUACCUGAGGUCAGGAGUUCAACACCAGCCUGACCAAUAUGGUGAAACCCUGCCUCUA